UACGGAGGGAGCUAGCGUUGUUCGGAAUUACUGGGCGUAAAGCGCACGUAGGCGGCUAUUCAAGUCAGAGGUGAAAGCCCGGGGCUCAACCCCGGAACGGCCUUUGAAACUAGGUAGCUAGAAUCUUGGAGAGGUCAGUGGAAUUCCGAGUGUAGAGGUGAAAUUCGUAGAUAUUCGGAAGAACACCAGUGGCGAAGGCGACUGACUGGACAAGUAUUGACGCUGAGGUGCGAAAGCGUGGGGAGCAAACAGG
This 253-nucleotide ribosomal RNA is filed under the name uncultured bacterium. Its description in RNAcentral is "partial 16S ribosomal RNA". It matches the Rfam family "Bacterial small subunit ribosomal RNA", at positions 524 to 776 of the family's 1533-position model. The record is from RNAcentral.